GGUCCAUAGGGUCUCAGAGGGUCUUAAAGAGUCGGGCACAACUGAAGCAACUUAGCACACAAGCACAUACAUAAGACAAUAAGAAAAAAGCUCCCACAUGCCAAAGUGGAGCAUCAAUUCCUACUCUUUUUUCUUUUCCCCUCCCGUCCCCCAAACAUGCUUCACAAACAUUAUUCCAUAUUUCUUGGUUCAGACAUAGAACUGAGCCCAAAUCUACUUGAAGAUGAAAGUUAGCCUUACAGAAACCAAACCAGGAGGUCUGAUUUUGGCAAGACAUAUCUCUCCUUUGCUUUGCCCCCUCUCCUCACUCUGUUUUUUUCCAGGUAGCCUGAAAUUUCAAGAGUGCCUUGGAUGCAUCUCAGCUGCCCUUCUCUGCCCUACUCUUUCAAUAAGUACCCAAAUAAGAUUUAUCUCUAUGUCAUCCAUGAAUGAUCUCCCCAUUAUGAGAGGAUUCUUUACCGCUGAGCCACCUGGGAAGCCCCAGCAUGUGGUUACUACAUACUUACUCAAUUUAACUGAAUUACAUGGAAUGAGACAAUUGCAAGAGCAUAACGAAAUCCUCUGCUUUGAAAUGGCACCUUGUGUAUGUUGUCAAUUUGUACAUGUACAAGUUCACACACGUGUGCACACCACACACCAAAGUGCUGAAAUAGACUUGAUUUUGAUGCCAAGGAUUGAAAAAUGGAAUUCCAUCUCUUUCUCUGCUUAUAAUGUUGAAUUCAUGUUUGUGUGCCUGGUAAGCAGAUUUGCAAGCUAAACUAACUCUCACCAAAUAGACUGGUAAAGAAAAAAAGCUUUAUUCAAGGAAGCUGCAAAUGGAAACUAAUACUCAUAACAUAGACCGAAGCAAAAGACAAGAAAAUGGUAGAGCAAAUAUUUCCUGUUCCUUGUAGAAAUGCUUCCUCUGUCAUAUCACAAGGUAAUGAUGAUGACAUAGUGAUAUGUGUCAAGGUAUUAGACACAAAGUUGAAAUUAUGUAGAAGACCAUUGAAUAGAAAUUGUAUCCACCAUUGUUAAAAAAUUCACAUUUUAAGUAUAUGCUUUGUCUUUUACAUCAGUUAAUGAGAUUUAGAAGACAACUUGAUAGCAAAUGUUUAAAAUUUGGGCAUUAAAAGCUAUUUUUAAUGACAACCGAAAGGGUUUUGCUUUUGUACAAUUUAAAGUAAAAUAAAUAAUGAUUCAUAACAGGUUUAUCUCA
RNAcentral lists this long non-coding RNA (1198 nucleotides) under Bos indicus x Bos taurus (hybrid cattle). RNAcentral describes it as "lncRNA (ENSBIXG00005010014.1)". Lineage: Eukaryota; Metazoa; Chordata; Mammalia; Artiodactyla; Bovidae. The record is from RNAcentral.